Mustela erminea (ermine) is the source of this 3785-nucleotide long non-coding RNA. RefSeq lists it as uncharacterized. Lineage: Eukaryota; Metazoa; Chordata; Mammalia; Carnivora; Mustelidae. The transcript is spliced from 2 exons. The record is from RefSeq and is a predicted model, not a curated record.
CAGCGGCCUGAGGCUACCUGCACUUAGUGGGACGCCCCACACCUCUGCCACUCCAAAUUUCCCACCGCGCCCCACCUGUCUGCGUCCUAAUCUCUGCCCCGCCCCUUCCUCCGCGGCCAGCUUCCGCAUUGCCCGCGCAACUCCGAGACUAAGCGGCGUGACGGAAACUACAAUCCGGCACAGAAGAAAGGCCCAAGGAACCAGCCUCCUUGAAGCCCCAACUCUGAGCGCUUUCCGGGCAGCUCUUGACUCGAACUCCACUGCGAUCCCCCACUGAUGGCAGCCAUGAUAGUUACAUCCGGGUAUUUCGUGGAGUCGCGACCAGAGUCUCCCGGAAGUGACGCGAACGCGGAGGGAUUUGCGUUCGGUGAAGUGAAGAGGCUCCGGAAGCUGGUCCCGUAGAGACGCUGGCGGUGGAGUGGUAGGGUUGGGUGUUUUGUUUACCAUCACCUACUUGUAACGGGUGUUACGUGUUAUGUAGUGUGCCCAACACCCGCUUUCCCGUGCCUUUUAAAUCCUUUCUUUACAACAGGUCCAGGAGGAAGACAUGAUAUUGUUUCCAUUAUGGGAAAAUUGAGGCCAGGAGAGGGCGAGUGAUUUGUCUUAAUGCAUCUCGUCUUGGAGCUGACCUGAUCCCCCAGUUUGUGGAGCCAGUGCUUUAAAUUUCCUCCGUAAUGCUUCCAUUUAGAAAAACCCCCAACCCCCUGGUGCUUGCAGCUGGAAGGCCACUUCUGCAGGGGCGUUCACCUUCAGCUCAGCGUUGUUGCCCAUGGUGUAGGGCCAAGCCACAGCCACCGUGGUCUCUGCGGUGGACAGAGAUCCGAACCGUGUGCCACGGUCACCAUCGUUAACCGGGUGUCUUGCGAUUUCUCUUGGUCUCCUGCCCCUUGACUCUGCACAUGGAGGAUUCUUGCUGCCCUCGACCCCCGGUUAACUGAGGGAACUGGCCCUGACCGUGGGCGCUGGGAAACAUUUUAACUCCUGUCAGGCACUUGUAAAGUCAAGACUGCUCAAACGGCUCGAGGCCUGUCAUUAUUGGCAAAUAGCCUCUGGCGGUAAUAAAAGCCUGACAACGAUUAUCUUGGACUUUCCACCAAAUCAGUUGUGUCUCCUGGCUUCUGUUCCUUUAGAAUAUAAGAACAAAUACUUCUACCUUAAUGUCACCGUUAACUAUAACCAGCCAUCAAAUAAUGAAGUGUGAAUACCCACUUUGGUCAUUUUUUUUUCCUUUUUCUUUUUUUCGCAGAGGCCAUCAGGUGGGGAAAUAGCCACACCAGCACCUCCCCAGAACAGAACCUCUCAGAUCCCUAGGUGUCAGAGGUCCUAGGGGCACAGGACCUCAGGGGAGGUCAGAGCCCAUGGCUAGAUAUCAUGGGGGCGAGGUAAUAUUUUUGUAAAAAUAAAUUAUGCAUAGAAAAAAUACAUCAGAAUUAAGAAUGAUAAUAUUUGAAGAGUGGCCGUUUAAUUAUUUUAUUUCUUCUCUCUACUAUUUAUUUUCCAUAUCUGCUACAGUUCUUUUUAAUAUAGGGAAAUAAAUUGACCGCAGUAAACCUUUCUUAGUUGCCUGCUUAAUUAUAAUGAAGACAAAGGCAUGUUGUCACAUUUUGACAAAUGACCGACUUUGAUACAAACUACAGAAAGGAAUUCUUUUCCUUGGCAAAGCGUUGUUUCUUGUUGUUGUUGUUUUUUUGUCAGGAUAUUAUCAAAAUACAAAUUUGGUACAGGUGUUUUUCCCACACCUUUGUAUAAAAAAAUUCCAAUCAGAAGUUUUACUUCUCAAAAAACAGAGGAGAGAGGGAUGUGAGACACUUGACAUUCUGGAGAACAAGUAUAAAAAGCUACUUUUAUUCUGCCUUCUUUGCGGUAGCUUUAAACAACUUACCAGGUUCAGAUAAAAGCAAAAUAACCACUCCUCUUUUCUAUUUCUGUAGUCUGCUCCCACUGUUGCCUUUUAGCAACUAUCAAGCAGUGGCACUACAAGAAAUACAGUGAAAAGACAGAAGAGAAAAAUGAGAAGGGAUUGGGAAGGAAGAACAUGUAAAUAAUGGAAAAUGCUGAUAUUGGGGUUGAGGUUGCUUUGAAAUUCUAAGGUAGCAUGUAACAACCCUUUCACCCAAGUCCCUACGAGACCAGUUGCCCACUCAGACAGAUUUGCAUAUAUAAUGUUCCCACUCACACAUUGAGCACCCACUAUGAUCAUCCUUAACAAAAUUUCAGCUUUAUACUUAUACAAAUUAGACAUAUAUUUUGACAAAACCUAGAGUGGCUUGAAUAACAACAACAACUGUAAAGUAAAAUCUCAUCGUUUUCCCUAGUAUUCCCUCUUACCAUAUCAUUCAAUCAUCCUAUGAUUAGUAGCAUAAGUGGAUAUCGAACGGGAAGUGUUGCAUGCUACAUUAUAAUAAAACAGCUAUGAAACUCCAAGUGAGGUCCUGACAAGAUACAUGUUUUCAAAGGAAAUAUCUUCAUGUUAGUCUGGGCCUUCUAAAAAGCAGUUGUUAGGGUGACAUUAAAUGUGCAAGAAUUUUAUUAUAGGAAACACUUAUGAGAGAAUGAGGAGGGAGCCAGGAAGAGCCAUCAGAUAGAUGGAAGUUAAAAGCAGUGAAAGAGAUGCGGAGAGGUUGGUGGAAUUGUCCUAGGCUGAUGUACAGUCUAAGGAGGAUUUGGCAAGACUACUGAGAAUGCUCAAGCCAAAAUUGCCAUGACCAGGAAUCCUCCUAGGAAGGAGCUUGCCUUAUGAUCUGUGCUGCACUCAGUCACUGGCCGGAUCAGCCCAUGGAAAGCUUGAUCUUUGGUGCAAAUGUGGAAGAUUGCAGAGUAUGGCAGCUCCUGGGGCCCUUGGGCAGUUUUGCUCCCUAUAGUUGGUAACCGCAGUCCCUAAAUGGGCUUUUUCAAUUAUUGGCGCUUUUCACCAGUUUCAAGGCUUAGAAGAAGAUUAUAAAAGAGGCGAUUUCAUGAGGAGGAUUUUACAUUGUUGUUAGGCUUCCUCAUGCCCCUUCAAGUCUACUGAGUGGGACUUCAGUGGCACUACUCAGGGGGCUUGAUAUGUGUCCCUUGAGUUUUCAGAAGUACAGUAGUGCCUGACUCACAUCUGAGAAAUCCCAGGGUAGGGAGAAUGGGCCAGUAAGAAGUUUGGGCAGAGGAGUAAAGGAGAGUUGCUAGGUUGGAAUCAGCUGUGACUUCCAUAGUUUGUCCAGGCAAAUGAUGUUUGAGUGUUUCUUGUGCACCAAAUAUGUACCACAUGAGAGAGAGAGCUGGCCUGGCGCUCUUUUGACUCUCGCCUAAAAGGACUUCCUGGAAGGGAAAUGGGACUUCCAACAGAGGGCGCAUGUGGUGUGGAUUAUCAGAAAAUCGGGAGCUACGGAAGGAGCAGUAACUGGGGAAAUAGAAUGUGUUGCCUAUCUGGGAUGACCAGCUUGCUCAAAUUUGCUUGAAACUCUCCCUGUUUUAGUACCAAAAGUCCCGAGUCUCAGGAAUCCCUCAGUCCCAGACCACUCAGGAUGGUUGGACAUUCUGCCUGUCACAGGAGUUACAGUCAGAAGGCACUCCAGCAGAGAACCUCCAAAAUCCACCAAGUCACCCAUGAGAAUAAGAGUCAAGUCAAAAUAUCAAGUAGGCUCAGACUAUGUGAAGCCAGUUUAUGAUUAUGUCAGUAUUAAAGUGGAUUUUGUCAGGGCAUAAUUGGAAAAUGUGCUGGAGCAGGACCUUCUUUUCCACACCAUCCUUUAGGAGUGUGUAUAGUGUGCUCAGACUGCCAUAACAUUGUAUCACAGACUGGGUAGCUU